GCUGGGCUCGGUGGCCCACGCCUGUCAUCCCAGCAGCUCUGGAGGCUGAGGCAGGAGGAUCGCAAGGUGGAGGCCAGCCUCAGCCAAAGCGAGGCCCUGAGCAACUCAGGGAGACCCUGUCUCUA
RNAcentral lists this small RNA (125 nucleotides) under Marmota monax (woodchuck). Lineage: Eukaryota; Metazoa; Chordata; Mammalia; Rodentia; Sciuridae. The record is from RNAcentral.